RNAcentral lists this ribosomal RNA (739 nucleotides) under Dirofilaria repens. Its description in RNAcentral is "SSU rRNA". It matches the Rfam family "Eukaryotic small subunit ribosomal RNA", at positions 609 to 1355 of the family's 1831-position model. The record is from RNAcentral. Lineage: Eukaryota; Metazoa; Nematoda; Chromadorea; Rhabditida; Onchocercidae.
AUUGCUGCGGUUAAAAAGCUCGUAGUUGGAUCUGCGUCUCAGGACCUGGUCCAUCCAUUGGAUGAGAACUGGGCUCCUAGGCUAAUAUUGCCAGUUUUCCAUACGUUACCUUGAUUGGUUGCGUAUGGUGGCUAGCAAGUUUACCUUGAAAAAAUUAGAGUGCUCAAUGCGGGCUAAUGCCUGAAUACUCGUGCAUGGAAUAAUGAAAUAGGAUCUCGGUUCUAUUUUGUUGGUUUUCUGAUCUGAGAUAAUGGUUAAGAGGGACGGACGGGGGCAUUCGUAUCGCUGCGUGAGAGGUGAAAUUCUUGGACCGUAGCGAGACGUCCGACUGCGAAAGCAUUUGCCAAGAAUGUCUUCAUUAAUCAAGAACGAAAGUCAGAGGUUCGAAGGCGAUCAGAUACCGCCCUAGUUCUGACCGUAAACGAUACCAACUAGCGUUCCGUCGGCGGUAAAUACGCCUUGACGGGCAGCUUCCCGGAAACGAAAGUUUUUCGGUUCCGGGGGAAGUAUGGUUGCAAAGCUGAAACUUAAAGAAAUUGACGGAAGGGCACCACCAGGAGUGGAGCCUGCGGCUUAAUUUGACUCAACACGGGAAAACUCACCUGGCCCGGACACCGUGAGGAUUGACAGAUUGAGAGCUCUUUCAUGAUUCGGUGGUUGGUGGUGCAUGGCCGUUCUUAGUUGGUGGAGUGAUUUGUCUGGUUUAUUCCGAUAACGAGCGAGACUCUAGCCUACUAAA